RNAcentral lists this ribosomal RNA (1879 nucleotides) under human gut metagenome. RNAcentral describes it as "bacterial LSU rRNA". It matches the Rfam family "Bacterial large subunit ribosomal RNA", at positions 3 to 1980 of the family's 2925-position model. The record is from RNAcentral.
UCAAGCUACAAAGGGCGCAAGGAGAAUGCCUUGGCACUGGGAGCCGAUGAAAGACGUGGUAAGCUGCGAUAAGCUUCGGGGAGGAGCAAACAUCCUUUGAUCCGGAGAUUUCUGAAUGAGGAAACUCACCAGAGUUCAUACUCUGGUAUCCUGUACUGAAUUCAUAGGUACAGGAGGGGAACCGCCUGAACUGAAACAUCUAAGUAGGGCGAGGAAGAGACAUCAAACGAGAUUCCGUUAGUAGUGGCGAGCGAACGCGGAAGAGGGCAAACCGAAAGGAGAAAUCCUUCCGGGGUAUGGACCGCAUUUAGGACUUUAGCUGUUAAUCGAAUGGCAUGGGAAGGCCAACCAAAGAGUGUGAGAGUCACGUAGAUGAAAACGGCGAGAGCUGCGCGAGUUCCAGAGUACGGCCAGACACGUGAAACCUGGUCGGAAGAUGGGGGGACCACCCUCCAACCCUAAAUACUACCCAGUGACCGAUAGCGUAUAGUACUGUGAAGGAAAGGUGAAAAGGACCCCGGGAGGGGAGUGAAAUAGAACCUGAAACCUUGUGCCUACAAGCACAUAGAGCACAUCAACGUGUGAUAUGGUACUUUUUGUAGAACGGUCCGGCGAGCGAUUGUAUGUUGCGAGCUUAAGGUCUUAAGGACUGGAGGCGCAGCGAGAGCGAGUCUGAAGAGGGCGUUCAGUAACAUGCAAUGGGCCCGAAACCGGGUGACCUACCCAUGAUCAGGCUGAAGUGAAAGUAAAAUUUCAUGGAGGGCCGAACCGACCUCCGUUGAAAAGGCGGCGGAUGAAUUGUGGGUAGCGGAGAAAUUCCAAUCGAACUCGGAGAUAGCUGGUUCUCCCCGAAAUAGCUUUAGGGCUAGCCUCAUAUUAGAUACCCGGAGGUAAAGCACUGAAUGGCCUAGCGCCCGAGAGGGUAGCGAAGCCUAUCAAACUAAGAAUGCCGGAGUAUUGAUGUAUGGGAGUCAGACAGUGUGAGAUAAAUCUCAUUGUCAAAAGGGAAACAGCCCAGAUCUACAGCUAAGGUCCCAAAUUGUAUCUAAGUGGAAAACGAUGUGGAAAUACGCAGACAACCAGGAUGUUGGCUCAGAAGCAGCCACUCAUUUAAAGAGUGCGUAAUAGCUCACUGGUCGAGCGUCUCUGCGCGGAAAAUUUAACGGGGCUAAGAUACAAACCGAAGCUUAGGCUGCACGUAAGUGCGGGGUAGGGGAGCGUUGUGUAAGCGGAGAAACAGUAGCGUAAGCGGCUGUGGAGUUUACAGAAGUGAGAAUGCCGGAAUGAGUAGCGCGAAUGUGGUGAGAAUCCACAUGGCCGGAAACCUCAGGUUUUUGGAGGAAGGUUCGUCCGCUCCAAGUUAGGCGGGAGCUAAGGUCAGGCCGAAAGGCGUAGCCGAUGCACAGACGGUAGAGAUUCCGUCCCCACCGAAAGAUUUAAGCACAGGGACACUUUUUGAAGGUCGGAGCCAGGUGUUGGUUCUGGUAGAGAUCGAGGGAAAUAUAGUACCGAAGUCCGGCUGGAUGAGAGGCGAGAAAAGCUGUGUGUAUAUCUAAGGUGCCCGUACCGCAAACCGACACAGGUAGGUAGGAAGAAGAUUCUAAGGCCAACGGGAGAAGGGUUGUUAAGGAACUCGGCAAGUUGACCCCGUAACUUCGGAAUAAGGGGUGCUCACGAGAGUGAGCCGCAGAGAAUAGGCCCAGGCAACUGUUUACCAAAAACACAGGUUUGUGCUAAAUCGAAAGAUGACGUAUACGAGCUGACGCCUGCCCGGUGCUGGAAGGUUAAAAGGAGAUGUGCAAGCAUUGAAUUGAAGCCCCAGUGAACGGCGGCCGUAACUAUAACGGUCCUAAGGUAGCGAAAUUCCUUGUCAGGUAAG